RNAcentral lists this ribosomal RNA (427 nucleotides) under uncultured bacterium. RNAcentral describes it as "bacterial SSU rRNA". It matches the Rfam family "Bacterial small subunit ribosomal RNA", at positions 355 to 774 of the family's 1533-position model. The record is from RNAcentral.
UGGGGAAUUUUGGACAAUGGGCGCAAGCCUGAUCCAGCAAUGCCGCGUGCAGGAUGAAGGCCUUCGGGUUGUAAACUGCUUUUGUACGUAGCGAAAAGGUCUGCCCUAAUACGGUGGGCUCAUGACGGUACCGUAAGAAUAAGCACCGGCUAACUACGUGCCAGCAGCCGCGGUAAUACGCAGUUUUCGAGCGUUAAUCGGAAUUACUGGGCGUAAAUCGUGCGCAGUCGUUUAUAUAAGACAGAUGUGAAAUCCCCGGGCUCAACCUGGGACCUGCAUUUGUGACUGUAAAGCUAGAGUACGGUAGAGGGGGAUGGAAUACCGCGUGUAGCAGUGAAAUGCGUAGAUAUGCGGAGGGACACAGAUGGCGAAGGCAAUCACCUGGAACUGUACUGACGCUCAUGCACGAAAGCGUGGGGAGCAAACA